Corylus avellana is the source of this 107-nucleotide small nucleolar RNA. The record is from RefSeq and is a predicted model, not a curated record. NCBI's taxonomy places the organism in Eukaryota, Viridiplantae, Streptophyta, Magnoliopsida, Fagales, Betulaceae.
AUGUUGUGAUGUGGGCACUUGAGAAGCAGAGUAUUGAAGUGGUCCCACGCUUCAAAGAAAAGAUCUCCAUUUAUUUGUUGGAAUGAUUGAAUCUCUCUUCUAAGCUG